This is a non-coding RNA of Paramisgurnus dabryanus, 913 nucleotides long. The record is from RefSeq and is a predicted model, not a curated record. Lineage: Eukaryota; Metazoa; Chordata; Actinopteri; Cypriniformes; Cobitidae.
GGCAGCACAUAACAUAAAAACAUUAUAUAUCUACAAGUGUGUUUACUAAAUACAUGUAUUAUUAUGCUAAUGUAAUUUAAUUGAUAAAGGUUUUUUUUAUUUAAGAAAAUCUGAGCAUCACUCAAAAUAACUGUCAACAUGUUUGUCAACUAAACAUGUUUUGUAAACGUUAUACAUUUUAUAAAAAUAUUUAAUAUUUUUAUUAUUGAUAAAGUAUAAAGAACAAAUCAGUGUGAAAACGCAGAUUAUAAAAAGUACAUAAAGUGCCAGCAGAGGAUCCAAAAUAAUGAAAAAAAAAAAAAAACAUCCAAUGCAACUUGGAAAUUGUAGUCAAAAUACAUCUACAGCAGCAUGCUAAAGCAGUACCAACGCCAGGGCAAAAGACUCAAAUUCCCAGAAUGCACCUGCACCCACCCAUUCAUUCCCACCAAUCAGGAUCAACGGCAUUUUUCAAACCGCUACUGACUCGUUUUCAUGCUAAACAGUACGGCUGAGAGGUCAUGUACCAUGUGGUCGACCUUGCUGACGCUGAAGAGGUUUCUGUGUAAAAAUGAUGACAUUGAGACAAACAGACCAGUUCUGGCUGCCGUGGAGGUCAACACACCACUGAUCUACUGGCUGCCCUUCAACGUGAUGCCCAGCCGAUGCCUGACCACCGACGGAACUAGGGCUGCACGAUAAGUCGCAUGUGUUUGUCAGGCGCAUCUCCUCAGUAAUGCCGGUUCCUUGAUUAGUAUUAAAUCGCCAUCAGCUGUUUUCAGAUGUAGCAGCUUUAACUACACAGAGCCGUAGUUCACUGACAAUCGGGGCAAUUUCGCAUUAAUUAUCGCGGACGUAUCGGCUGCGAUAUGUAUGCGAUAUGGCCCAGCUUGUCAGGGAACUACGGCUCUGUAGUUAAAGCUGCUCCAUCUGA